Molecule: ribosomal RNA, 253 nt
Filed under: uncultured bacterium
Lineage: Bacteria
Description: partial 16S ribosomal RNA
Rfam family: Bacterial small subunit ribosomal RNA
Source: RNAcentral
GACAGAGGGGGCGAGCGUUGUCCGGAGUCACUGGGCGUAAAGCGCGCGCAGGCGGCAGCCUAAGUGUCGUGUGAAAGCCCCCGGCUCAACCGGGGGAGGCCAUGGCAAACUGGGUCGCUCGAGCUGCGGAGGGGCCCCUCGAAUUGCCGGUGUAGCGGUGAAAUGCGUAGAGAUCGGCAGGAAGACCAAGGGGGAAGCCAGGGGGCUGGCCGCAGGCUGACGCUGAGGUGCGACAGCGUGGGGAGCAAACCGG